CAGGAUGAACGCUGGCGGCGUGCUUAAUACAUGCAAGUCGAACGAAGAUAUUUCGCUGAUGCGAUUCGUCAAAUCUUGAAAUAUCUUAGUGGCGGACGGGUGAGUAACGCGUGGGUAACCUGCCUUACACAGGGGGAUAACAGUUAGAAAUGACUGCUAAUACCGCAUAAGCGCACGGUAUCGCAUGAUACAGUGUGAAAAAGAUUUUAUCGGUGUAAAGAUGGACCCGCGUCUGAUUAGCUAGUUGGUGAGGUAACGGCCCACCAAGGCGACGAUCAGUAGCCGGCCUGAGAGGGUGAACGGCCACAUUGGGACUGAGACACGGCCCAAACUCCUACGGGAGGCAGCAGUAGGGAAUAUUGGACAAUGGGGGCAACCCUGAUCCAAGCGACGCCGCGUGAGUGAAGAAGUAUUUCGGUACGUAAAGCUCUAUCAGCAGGGAAGAAAAUGACGGUGCCUGACUAAGAAGCACCGGCUAAAUACGUGCCAGCCGCCGC
RNAcentral lists this ribosomal RNA (497 nucleotides) under uncultured bacterium. Its description in RNAcentral is "bacterial SSU rRNA". It matches the Rfam family "Bacterial small subunit ribosomal RNA", at positions 25 to 518 of the family's 1533-position model. The record is from RNAcentral.